CCUUGUUUAUACGUUGGCCAUUACUUUUCAUGAAUGUUUAUAAAAUGAGUAAAAAACUAUUGAGAUAUAACAACUCAAAGAUCUAAAUCAGCAAAAUAGACCGAAGUUUUAUUUACCUAUUCCGUAGCAGUCACUUUCGGUCGGAUAGCACAUUUUUAAUUAACACUAUCCCGGCAAAGAAAGUGUAUUAUUUGGAUGUUGCCGAUUGAGGAAAGUUCAGAAAAUGGCGUUUGACGCACAUAAAAUGUAAAGCGGUAUGAUCACAUGAUACCAAAACAAAAAGUAAAAUCACAAAAA
Molecule: long non-coding RNA, 297 nt
Filed under: Mytilus galloprovincialis (Mediterranean mussel)
Lineage: Eukaryota; Metazoa; Mollusca; Bivalvia; Mytilida; Mytilidae
Source: RNAcentral